This 284-nucleotide ribosomal RNA is filed under the name uncultured bacterium. Its description in RNAcentral is "partial 16S ribosomal RNA". It matches the Rfam family "Bacterial small subunit ribosomal RNA", at positions 28 to 313 of the family's 1533-position model. The record is from RNAcentral.
GAUGAACGCUAGCGGCAGGCCUAACACAUGCAAGUCGAGGGGUAACAGGGAGCUUGCUCUGCUGACGACCGGCGCACGGGUGCGUAACGCGUAUACAAUCUGCCCCUUACUAAGGAAUAGCCCAGGGAAACUUGGAUUAAUGCCUUAUAGUAUCGAGAUAUGGCAUCAUAUUUUGAUUAAAGGUUACGGUAAGGGAUGAGUAUGCGUCCUAUUAGCUUGUUGGUGUGGUAACGGCACACCAAGGCAACGAUAGGUAGGGGCCCUGAGAGGGGGAUCCCCCACAC